RNAcentral lists this ribosomal RNA (468 nucleotides) under uncultured bacterium. RNAcentral's name for it is "partial 16S ribosomal RNA". It matches the Rfam family "Bacterial small subunit ribosomal RNA", at positions 28 to 507 of the family's 1533-position model. The record is from RNAcentral.
GACGAACGCUGGCGGCGUGCUUAACACAUGCAAGUCGAACGGAAAGGCCCUGCUUUUGUGGGGUGCUCGAGUGGCGAACGGGUGAGUAACACGUGAGUAACCUGCCCUUGACUUUGGGAUAACUUCAGGAAACUGGGGCUAAUACCGGAUAGGAGCUCCUGCUGCAUGGUGGGGGUUGGAAAGUUUCGGCGGUUGGGGAUGGACUCGCGGCUUAUCAGCUUGUUGGUGGGGUAGUGGCUUACCAAGGCUUUGACGGGUAGCCGGCCUGAGAGGGUGACCGGCCACAAUGGGACUGGGGUACGGCCCAGACUCCUACGGGAGGCAGCAGUGGGGAAUAUUGCACAAUGGGCGGAAGCCUGAUGCAGCAACGCCGCGUGCGGGAUGACGGCCUUCGGGUUGUAAACCGCUUUCGCCUGUGACGAAGCGUGAGUGACGGUAAUGGGUAAAGAAGCACCGGCUAACUACGUG